RNAcentral lists this ribosomal RNA (642 nucleotides) under Triticum aestivum (bread wheat). RNAcentral describes it as "partial small subunit ribosomal RNA". Lineage: Eukaryota; Viridiplantae; Streptophyta; Magnoliopsida; Poales; Poaceae. The record is from RNAcentral.
AUGAUCAAAUCCUUUUGGUGGGACAGCAAGCAAGGUCAACGAAAACCAUAUUGGGUUGACUAGGACACAAUGAGUAUGCUGAAGUAUAUGGACGGACCGAGUUUCCGUGAUUUUGAAAUGUUUAACUUAGCUCUUCUGGGUCAUCAGGCAUGGAGAAUUUUGCAAAAGCCAGAGUCUUUAAGUGCGAGAAUACUAAAAGCACUGUACUUCCCUAAUGGUGAUUUUCUUGAUGCUGAACUGGGUAGCCAUCCUUCACAGGUUUGGCGAUCAGUAGUAAUGGGACGUGAAACUCUUAAAACAAUGUUGAUUAGGCGAAUUGGCACUGACUUCGACACUCACAUAUGGAACAUGAAUUGGAUACCGAGGCGGGAAAGCAUGAGGCCCAUUGUUUCUUUGAUAUCGCAACCACCACAGAUGGUGUUAGAGUUACUCGAUCAUAUUAAUGCUAGAUCGAAUGUUGAUUUUGUCCGUCGGGUAUUCCUGCCUUAUGAUGCCGCAUCAAUCCUACAAAUACAUGUCUACGCAAGGGUGAUCAACGACUUAUGGUCGUGGAAUUUUCAAAACAAUGGUAAGUUUUCUAUCCGCUCUGCUUAUCGUAUGAUAGUUGACAUAAAGAAGGGGCGGGAAGAUUGGUUAGAGUAG